Molecule: ribosomal RNA, 437 nt
Filed under: uncultured bacterium
Lineage: Bacteria
Description: partial 16S ribosomal RNA
Rfam family: Bacterial small subunit ribosomal RNA
Source: RNAcentral
AGCGAACGCUGGCGGCAGGCUUAACACAUGCAAGUCGAGCGGGCAUCCUUGUGGUGUCAGCGGCAGACGGGUGAGUAACGCGUGGGAACGUGCCCUUCUGUUCGGAAUAACUCAGGGAAACUUGAGCUAAUACCGGAUACGUGCGAGAGCAGAAAGGUUUAUCUGCCGAAGGAUCGGCCCGCGUCUGAUUAGCUAGUUGGUGAGGUUAUGGCUCACCAAGGCGACGAUCAGUAGCUGGUCUGAGAGGAUGAUCAGCCACACUGGGACUGAGACACGGCCCAGACUCCUACGGGAGGAAGCAGUGGGGAAUAUUGGACAAUGGGGGCAACCCUGAUCCAGCCAUGCCGCGUGAGUGAUGACGGCCUUAGGGUUGUAAAGCUCUUUUCUCCGGGACGAUAAUGACGGUACCGGAGGAAUAAGCCCCGGCUAACUUCGUG